This 523-nucleotide ribosomal RNA is filed under the name Automate rectifrons. RNAcentral describes it as "partial large subunit ribosomal RNA". It matches the Rfam family "Bacterial large subunit ribosomal RNA", at positions 1854 to 2625 of the family's 2925-position model. The record is from RNAcentral. Lineage: Eukaryota; Metazoa; Arthropoda; Malacostraca; Decapoda; Alpheidae.
GGUCUGCCCCCUGAGGAUUAACUUAAAGGGCCGCGGUAAUUUGACCGUGCGAAGGUAGCAUAAUCAUUAGUUCUUUAAUUGAGGGCUUGUAUGAAUGGCCGGAUGGAAAGGAAGUUGUCUCUUUGGGCUAUAUUUUGAAUUUAACAUUUGUGUGAAAAGGCAUUAAUGGUUUGGGGGGACGAUAAGACCCUAUAAAACUUGUAUAUAUUUAUAGUUUCAAGUUGAGUUAGUAAAAGAUAUGGGGUUAUGAUUGUAUUGAGUUGGGGCGACUGAGAUAUGAUUUUUGGAUGUAUAGCUAUUUUAGGGUGUAAAAUACUGAUAAGUAGAUGGUGAUCCUUCAAUAGAGAUUAUUAGGUUAAGUUACUUUAGGGAUAACAGCGUAAUUUCUUUUAAGAGUUCGUAUCGAUAGAGUGAGUUGCGACCUCGAUGUUGAAUUAAAGUUUCUUUUAGGUGCAGCAGCUUAAAUAAGUGGGUCUGUUCGACCUUUAAAGCUUUACAUGAUUUGAGUUCAGACCGGUGUGAG